AUUGAACGCUGGCGGCAUGCCUUACACAUGCAAGUCGAACGGCAGCACGGGAGCAAUCCUGGUGGCGAGUGGCGAACGGGUGAGUAAAGUAUCGGAACGUGCCCGGUCGUGGGGGAUAACGCAGCGAAAGCUGCGCUAAUACCGCAUACGAUCUGAGGAUGAAAGCGGGGGACCGUAAGGCCUCGCGCGAUCGGAGCGGCCGAUGUCAGAUUAGGUAGUUGGUGGGGUAAAGGCUCACCAAGCCGACGAUCUGUAGCUGGUCUGAGAGGACGACCAGCCACACUGGGACUGAGACACGGCCCAGACUCCUACGGGAGGCAGCAGUGGGGAAUUUUGGACAAUGGGCGCAAGCCUGAUCCAGCAAUGCCGCGUGCAGGAAGAAGGCCUUCGGGUUGUAAACUGCUUUUGUACGGAGCGAAAAGGCUCUCUCUAAUACAGGGGGCUCAUGACGGUACCGUAAGAAUAAGCACCGGCUAACUACGUGCCAGCAGCCGCAGUAA
RNAcentral lists this ribosomal RNA (500 nucleotides) under uncultured bacterium. Its description in RNAcentral is "partial 16S ribosomal RNA". It matches the Rfam family "Bacterial small subunit ribosomal RNA", at positions 29 to 523 of the family's 1533-position model. The record is from RNAcentral.